RNAcentral lists this ribosomal RNA (439 nucleotides) under uncultured bacterium. RNAcentral's name for it is "partial 16S ribosomal RNA". It matches the Rfam family "Bacterial small subunit ribosomal RNA", at positions 339 to 795 of the family's 1533-position model. The record is from RNAcentral.
CUACGGGUCGCACCAGUGAGGAAUAUUGCACAAUGGGGGGAACCCUGAUGCAGCAACGCCGCGUGGAGGAUGACGCAUUUCGGUGUGUAAACUCCUUCUAUAUGUCAAGAAAAUGACGGUAGCAUAUGAAUAAGCACCGGCUAACUCCGUGCCAGCAGCCGCGGUAAUACGGAGGGUGCAAGCGUUACUCGGAAUCACUGGGCGUAAAGGACGCGUAGGCGGGUUGGAAAGUCAGGUGUGAAAUCCUACAGCCUAACUGUAGAACUGCACUUGAAACUUCUAAUCUAGAGUAUGGGAGGGGGAGAUGGAAUUAGUGGUGUAGGGGUAAAAUCCGUAGAUAUCACUAGGAAUACCUAAAGCGAAGGCGAUCUCCUGGAACAUUACUGACGCUAAGGCGUGAAAGCGUGGGGAGCAAACAGGAUUAGAUACCCCAGUAGUC